This 484-nucleotide ribosomal RNA is filed under the name uncultured bacterium. RNAcentral's name for it is "partial 16S ribosomal RNA". It matches the Rfam family "Bacterial small subunit ribosomal RNA", at positions 28 to 523 of the family's 1533-position model. The record is from RNAcentral.
GAUGAACGCUGGCGGCGUGCUUAACACAUGCAAGUCGAACGGUGAAGCAGGAGCUUGCUCUUGUGGAUCAGUGGCGAACGGGUGAGUAACACGUGAGCAACCUGCCCCUGACUCUGGGAUAAGCGCUGGAAACGGCGUCUAAUACUGGAUAUGUGAUGUGACCGCAUGGUCUGCAUCUGGAAAGAAUUUCGGUUGGGGAUGGGCUCGCGGCCUAUCAGCUUGUUGGUGAGGUAAUGGCUCACCAAGGCGUCGACGGGUAGCCGGCCUGAGAGGGUGACCGGCCACAAUGGGACUGAGACACGGCCCAGACUCCUACGGGAGGCAGCAGUGGGGAAUAUUGCACAAUGGGCGGAAGCCUGAUGCAGCAACGCCGCGUGAGGGAUGACGGCCUUCGGGUUGUAAACCUCGUUUAGCAGGGAAGAAGCGAAAGUGACGGUACCUGCAGAAAAAGCACCGGCUAACUACGUGCCAGCCGCCGCGGUAA